RNAcentral lists this long non-coding RNA (533 nucleotides) under Rattus norvegicus (Norway rat). RNAcentral's name for it is "long non-coding RNA NONRATT019484". Lineage: Eukaryota; Metazoa; Chordata; Mammalia; Rodentia; Muridae. The record is from RNAcentral.
GGUGCAUGGGGUCUCCUCAUGAGACCAUUCUGGGCAGGCUCGCUGCAGCUGGGUAGUGGCUGACGUGAUCUUUCCACAGGGGUGCAUGGAGAAGGCUCAGGCGUGGCUACAGGAGAACUUCGGCAUCCUUCUGGGCGUGUGUGCUGGUGUUGCUGUCAUUGAGCUGCUGGGGUUGUUCCUGUCCAUAUGUUUGUGCCGGUACAUUCAUUCUGAAGAUUACAGCAAGGUCCCCAAGUACUGAGGCUGCUGAUGUCCCCACUGUCCUGUGUUUCUCCACCCUCAGUCUCCCACAGGGCCUCUAGAGCUUUCCCACAUGAGCCGUGCUCCAUCUACUACUGAGGCCUCUGGCCCACCCUGGGAAGGUUGUAGGAACUUUCUGGGCCUGGGCCCUUCUCCCUGCCUUUCUGCCACCAAUAUGGGGCCCUUACUGUCCUGUAGCUCUUCCUCCUACUGCCUGGAAUAUUUUUAACAGCUUGAAAUGGCUCCCAGUAUUACUGUACACAGGAUAGCUGGGUCCCCACCCUGAAGUCAUA